UCGUAGCUGGUUCCCAGUCGGGCUC
RNAcentral lists this non-coding RNA (25 nucleotides) under Mus musculus (house mouse). The record is from RNAcentral. Lineage: Eukaryota; Metazoa; Chordata; Mammalia; Rodentia; Muridae.